AUGUGCCACUCGUACACUCCGGUUCCUGCGCGCCGUCCGCACGCCCCUGGCGACUGCUCGCUACGUUUUGGUAGCC
RNAcentral lists this small RNA (76 nucleotides) under Xanthomonas hortorum pv. taraxaci. RNAcentral's name for it is "sX9 sRNA". It matches the Rfam family "Xanthomonas sRNA sX9". The record is from RNAcentral. Lineage: Bacteria; Pseudomonadati; Pseudomonadota; Gammaproteobacteria; Lysobacterales; Lysobacteraceae.